ACCGGCCUAACUUUUGAAUCAAUAUUUAGCUGGUGGGUUAUUACCUCCAGAAGAAUGCCUGGCAUAUCAAUAGCUGAUCAAGCAAAAAUAUCGGUAUUUAUUUUUAUUAGAUUUAUUAGUUGUUGCCGCUCUGGAUCUGACAGCUACGAUUCAAUUUGGAUCAUCUUCUCAGAAUCUUCUUCUUUCAGUGGGAUGAAAAUCAG
This 203-nucleotide long non-coding RNA is filed under the name Elaeis guineensis (African oil palm). RNAcentral's name for it is "long non-coding RNA (EGUI_LNC023987)". Lineage: Eukaryota; Viridiplantae; Streptophyta; Magnoliopsida; Arecales; Arecaceae. The record is from RNAcentral.